GACGAACGCUGGCGGCGCGCCUAACACAUGCAAGUCGAACGGAGUCAAGAGGAGCUUGCUUUUCUUGACUUAGUGGCGAAAGGGUGAGUAACGCGUGAGUAACCUGCCCUGGAGUGGGGGACAACAGUUGGAAACGACUGCUAAUACCGCAUAAGCCCACGGAUCCGCAUGGAUCUGCGGGAAAAGGGUUUAUUCGCUUCAGGAUGGACUCGCGUCCAAUUAGCUAGUUGGUGAGGUAACGGCCCACCAAGGCGACGAUUGGUAGCCGGGCUGAGAGGUUGAACGGCCACAUUGGGACUGAGACACGGCCCAGACUCCUACGGGAGGCAGCAGUGGGGGAUAUUGCACAAUGGGGGAAACCCUGAUGCAGCGACGCCGCGUGGAGGAAGAAGGUUUUCGGAUUGUAAACUCCUGUCGUUAGGGACGAUAAUGACGGUACCUAACAAGAAAGCACCGGCUAACUACGUG
RNAcentral lists this ribosomal RNA (468 nucleotides) under uncultured bacterium. RNAcentral's name for it is "partial 16S ribosomal RNA". It matches the Rfam family "Bacterial small subunit ribosomal RNA", at positions 28 to 507 of the family's 1533-position model. The record is from RNAcentral.